CCAAUAGCGUAUAUUAAAGUUGUUGCAGUUAAAAAGCUCGUAGUUGAAUUUCGAGAUCAAUUUGUCGGUCGUGCCUCGGUACGUACUGGCGUUAUUGAUUUCUCCCUUCUGAAGAACCGCGAUGUCAUUAAUUUGGUGUCGUGGGGAAUCAGGACUGUUACUUUGAAAAAAUUAGAGUGUUUAAAGCAGGCGCACGCUUGAAUACAUUAGCAUGGAAUAAUGAAAUAGGACGUUUGAUUCUAUUUUGUUGGUUUCUAGGAUCGACGUAAUGAUUAAUAGGGAUAGUUGGGGGCAUUAGUAUUCAAUUGUCAGAGGUGAAAUUCUUGGAUUUAUUGAAGACUAACUACUGCGAAAGCAUUUGCCAAGGAUGUUUUCAUUAAUCAAGAACGAAAGUUAGGGGAUCGAAGACGAUCAGAUACCGUCGUAGUCUUAACCAUAAACUAUGCCGACUAGGGAUCGGAUGAUGUUAAUUUUUUAAUGACUCAUUCGGCGCCUUACG
This 499-nucleotide ribosomal RNA is filed under the name uncultured Glomeromycotina. Its description in RNAcentral is "partial small subunit ribosomal RNA". It matches the Rfam family "Eukaryotic small subunit ribosomal RNA", at positions 591 to 1092 of the family's 1831-position model. Lineage: Eukaryota; Fungi; Glomeromycota. The record is from RNAcentral.